UUCUGCACUCUGUGCUCUUUCUCCUCUCUCUCAGUUCUGCACUCUGUGCUCUUUCACUCCUCUCUCAGUUCUGUACUCUGUGCUCUUUCACUCCUCUCUCUCAGUUCUGCACUCUGUGCUCUUUCACUCCUCUCUCAGUUCUGCACUCUGUGCUCUUUCACUCCUCUUUCAGCUCUGUACUCUGUGCUCUUUCAUUCUUCUCUCUUGGUUCUGUACUCUGUGCUCUUUCACUUCUCUCUCAGUUCUGUCCUCUGUGCUCUUUCUCUUCUCUCUCUCAGUUCUGUGCUCUGUGCUCUGUGCUCUUUUGCUUCUCUCUCAGUUCUGCACUCUGUGUUCUUGACCUUUCUCUCUGUAUUCUGCACUCUGUGUUCUCUUCUUUGCUUCUUGUUCUUAAUUUGUUCUUUCUAUCCCUUCUCUCAUGGCUCUGUGUUCUGUGCUCUAGACAUUCUGCUGCUUUUUCUGCCCAAGAUCUUCGGUCUUUACUCACUCUUCCACCUCUGUGCCCUGUGCUUGAUAUCUUUCUCUCAUAGUUCAGCACCAGGUUCUUGUUUCAUGUUCUCAACACUGUACUGCUUGUUUCUGUUUCCCAGUUCUGCACUCUGUGCUAUUUUCCCUUCUCUCACUGUUUGGCUCUCUUUGCUCCUGACCUUUCUCUUCCAGUUCUGAACUCUGUGCUCUGUGCCUCUUUUUCCUAGAUCUGUACUCUGUGCCCUUUGCCUUUCAGUCUUAAUUCUGCACUCUGUUGUUUCUCUGUUUGUUUUCUGCUCUGUGCU
RNAcentral lists this long non-coding RNA (773 nucleotides) under Lepisosteus oculatus (spotted gar). Its description in RNAcentral is "lncRNA (ENSLOCG00000021612.1)". Lineage: Eukaryota; Metazoa; Chordata; Actinopteri; Semionotiformes; Lepisosteidae. The record is from RNAcentral.